RNAcentral lists this ribosomal RNA (497 nucleotides) under uncultured bacterium. RNAcentral's name for it is "partial 16S ribosomal RNA". It matches the Rfam family "Bacterial small subunit ribosomal RNA", at positions 28 to 507 of the family's 1533-position model. The record is from RNAcentral.
GAUGAACGCUGGCGGCGUGCCUAAUACAUGCAAGUCGAGCGAACGGACGAGAAGCUUGCUUCUCUGAUGUUAGCGGCGGACGGGUGAGUAACACGUGUAUACCCUACUUAUAAUACUGGGAUCACUUCGGGAAACCGUAGCUUAUACCGGAUAAUAUUUUGAACCGCAUGGUUCAAAAGUGAAAGACGGCCUUGCUGUCAGUUAUAGAUGCAUCUGCGCUGCAUUAGCUAGUUGGUAAGUUAACGGCUUUCCAAGGCAACGAUGCAUAGCCGACCUGAUAGAGUGAUCGCCCACACGAGAGCGGGACCACGGUCCAUACUCCUACGGGAGGCAGCAGUCGGGAAUCUGCCGCAGUAGGCGAGAGCCUGGCGGAGCGACGCGGCGUGAGAGAUGGAAGUCUUCGGAUCGUAAAGCCCUGUUAUUAGGGAAAAACAGAUUUGGAAGUUACUGAGCACAGCGUGACGGUACCGGAUCAGAAAGCCACGGCUAACUACGUG